RNAcentral lists this ribosomal RNA (447 nucleotides) under uncultured bacterium. RNAcentral's name for it is "SSU rRNA". It matches the Rfam family "Bacterial small subunit ribosomal RNA", at positions 26 to 518 of the family's 1533-position model. The record is from RNAcentral.
AGAGCGAACGCUGGCGGCAGGCCUAACACAUGCAAGUCGAGCGGCCGUAGCAAUACGGCAGCGGCAGACGGGAGAGUAACACGUGGGAACGCGCCCUUCGGUUCGGAAUAACUCAGGGAAACUUGGGCUAAUACCGGAUACGCCCUUACGGGGAAAGAUUUAUUGCCGAAGGAACGGCCCGCGUCCGAUUAGCUUGUUGGUGAGGUAACGGCUCACCAAGGCGACGAUCGGUAGCUGGUCUGAGAGGAUGACCAGCCUCACUGGGACUGAGACACGGCCCAGACUCCUACGGGAGGCAGCAGUGGGGAAUAUUGGACAAUGGGCGCAAGCCUGAUCCAGCCAUGCCGCGUGGGUGAUGAAGGCCCUAGGGUUGUAAAGCCCUUUCGGCGGGGAAGAUAAUGACGGUACCCGCAGAAGAAGCCCGGCUAACUUCGCGCCAGCAGCCGC